RNAcentral lists this long non-coding RNA (690 nucleotides) under Oryza sativa Indica Group (long-grained rice). RNAcentral describes it as "lncRNA OsMH63_10G008960". The record is from RNAcentral. Lineage: Eukaryota; Viridiplantae; Streptophyta; Magnoliopsida; Poales; Poaceae.
AAGUUCUGCUCAUUCUCUGUUUUAAACCAAAAUAGAAAUCAAUUUUCGAAAUUGAAUUCCAGCCGGGUCCACAGGGUGCUCACCAAGCAGAGAAACGGAGGCAGCGAGGUCCAGGGAGCGGCGGAGGUGGUGGUUGUUGGCCAACGGCGGCAAAACUCCAGCGUCGACGUCGCCGGGUCGACUCAAGGCACGAAUUGCAACUUCGAGAGUACGGUGGUGUUAGAGAUGAGCCACAGAGGGUGCAUGCACGAGGAAUCCGACGGAAACUCACCGGAGCUUGGUGUUGCUUCGGUGGUGAGGAACGGCGGCCGGAGCGGCGACACGUUCCAUAGGAGGGAAGAGAGAGGGACUCACCGGGGAUGCACGGCGACGACGGCUAAGUCGCCGGAGCCGGGUAAGACGGCCGAGCUCUGGGCAUUCUGUGCGUGGGGAAGAGUGGAGUGGGGGAGUGAGAGAGAGAGGUGGCUGGUGCUUUCAUUGUGUUCCUUGGGCAUCCAUUGGGCAUGGGGGACAGUGGAUGCUGUGAGGGGAGAGUGGGAGGCUGUCAUGUGGGUCCCAGAGGGUGUGGGGCCCACUGUCAGUGAAAGAAAUUCAAAUAUAGCCUUGGAGGCUAAGUCAAAGAGGGUUGCCUACCAAGGAUAUUUGGAGGGGAUUCAAGGUGGAUUUUGUGCAGCAAGAAAUCUGGGCUAG